RNAcentral lists this ribosomal RNA (345 nucleotides) under uncultured prokaryote. RNAcentral describes it as "bacterial SSU rRNA". It matches the Rfam family "Bacterial small subunit ribosomal RNA", at positions 8 to 352 of the family's 1533-position model. The record is from RNAcentral.
AGAGUUUGAUCCUGGCUCAGAUUGAACGCUGGCGGCAUGCCUAACACAUGCAAGUCGAACGGUAGCAGGCCUUCGGGUGCUGACGAGUGGCGGACGGGUGAGUAAUGCGUAGGAAUCUGUCUUUUAGUGGGGGACAACCCAGGGAAACUUGGGCUAAUACCGCAUGAGCCCUGAGGGGGAAAGCGGGGGAUCUUCGGACCUCGCGCUAAGAGAAGAGCCUACGUCUGAUUAGCUAGUUGGUGGGGUAAAGGCCUACCAAGGCGUCGAUCAGUAGCUGGUCUGAGAGGAUGAUCAGCCACUAGUUGGGACUGAGACACGGACCCAAACUCCGUACGGGGAGGCGAC